UACAGAGGGUGCAAGCGUUAAUCGGAUUUACUGGGCGUAAAGCGUGCGUAGGCGGCUCGCUAAGUCGGUUGUGAAAUCCCUGGGCUUAACCUGGGAACUGCAGUCGAUACUGGCGGACUAGAGUACGGUAGAGGGUGGCGGAACUCCGGGUGUAGCGGUGGAAUGCGCAGAUAUCAGGAAGAACACCGGUGGCGAAGGCGGCUCUCUGGGCCUUACCUGACGCUGAGGAGCGAAAGCGUGGGGAGCGAACAGG
Molecule: ribosomal RNA, 253 nt
Filed under: uncultured bacterium
Lineage: Bacteria
Description: partial 16S ribosomal RNA
Rfam family: Bacterial small subunit ribosomal RNA
Source: RNAcentral